AAGGAGAAGUCGUAACAAGGUUUCCGUAGGUGAACCUGCGGAAGGAUCAUUGCCGUCUCUAGAACCACCACCGGCGAACCACAGUCCCCGCGGAAAGGCCGCUCGCGGCGCGCGGCCCGGGGGAGGACCCCCGGGGACGCGCGUCCCGGCGAGCCCCGAACAACCCUCUGGGCGCGGCGAGCGCCAAGGAAUCGAAGCGGAAAGGGCGGCCGCCCCGCCCGGCGCGGGCACGCCCCGAAAGGGGAUGCGGCGCCGCGGCGGGGGAUCCGCCGCCCGUCUGUGAAUCUCUGAGACGACUCUCGGCAACGGAUAUCUCGGCUCUCGCAUCGAUGAAGAACGUAGCGAAAUGCGAUACUUGGUGUGAAUUGCAGAAUCCCGUGAACCAUCGAGUCUUUGACGCAAGUUGCGCCCGAGGCCGCCCGCCCGAGGCCACGCCCGCCUGGGCGUCACGCCACCCAUCGCCCCCCGGCGGCAUUCCCAUGCACGGCCGGGGAGCGGAGACUGGCCGUCCGUGCCCGAGCCCUCGGCGCGCGGUCGGCAGAAAAGGAGGGCACCGUGCGGCGCGACACGGCGUGUGGGGGUUGAGAGGCGAUUCGUCGCCGACCGUACGUCGCGCCGGCAUUCCGCCGCGCGGUCUCGCCCGUGGGACCGGACUCCGCCCGCAGCCGCGGGCGCUCGGACCGCGACCCCAGGUCAGGCGUGGCCACCCGCUGAAUUUAAGCAUAUCAAUAAGCGGAGGAGAAGAAACUUACGAGGAUUCCCC
This 763-nucleotide ribosomal RNA is filed under the name Damburneya martinicensis. RNAcentral's name for it is "eukaryotic LSU rRNA". The stretch from base 295 to 449 matches the Rfam family "5.8S ribosomal RNA". Lineage: Eukaryota; Viridiplantae; Streptophyta; Magnoliopsida; Laurales; Lauraceae. The record is from RNAcentral.